RNAcentral lists this ribosomal RNA (274 nucleotides) under uncultured bacterium. Its description in RNAcentral is "partial 16S ribosomal RNA". It matches the Rfam family "Bacterial small subunit ribosomal RNA", at positions 523 to 796 of the family's 1533-position model. The record is from RNAcentral.
AUACGGAGGGUGCAAACGUUGUUCGGAAUCACUGGGCGUAAAGGGCGCGCAGGCGGUUUGAUUAGUCAGAUGUGAAAGCCCACGGCUUAACCGUGGAAGUGCAUUUGAAACUGUCAGACUUGAGUACCAGAGGGGGUAGUGGAAUUCCCGGUGUAGAGGUGAAAUUCGUAGAUAUCGGGAGGAAUACCGGUGGCGAAGGCGACUACCUGGCUGGAUACUGACGCCGAGGCGCGAAAGCGUGGGGAGCAAACAGGAUUAGAUACCCUAGUAGUCC